AGUGAACGCUGGCGGUAUGCCUAACACAUGCAAGUCUAACGUCAGCACAUUAAUGCCUUGCUCUUACGGGUGGCGAGUGUCGGACGGGUGAGGAAUACAUCGGAAUCUACUUUUUCGUGGGGGAUAACGUAGGGAAACUUACGCGGAUACCGCAUACGACCUACGGUUGAAAGCAGUGGAUCUUCGUACCUUGCGCGAUCGAAUCAUCCUAUGUCGGAUUUGCUAGUGUGCGGGGUAAAGGCCCACCAAGGCGACGAUCCGUAUCUGGUAUGAGAGGAUGAUCAGCCCGACCGGAAAUGAGACACGGCCACGACGCCUAUGGGAGGCAGCAGUGGCGCAUACUGGACGCAGGGCGGAAGAAUAAUCCAGACAUACCGCGUGGGUGAAGCAGGACUUCGGGUUGUAAAGUCAUUUUGUUCGGAAAGAAAAGCAGCAGGUUCAUAGCCCGCUGUACUGACGGUACCCAAAGAAUAAGCAACGGCUAACUUCGUG
Molecule: ribosomal RNA, 492 nt
Filed under: uncultured bacterium
Lineage: Bacteria
Description: partial 16S ribosomal RNA
Rfam family: Bacterial small subunit ribosomal RNA
Source: RNAcentral